Long non-coding RNA from Dreissena polymorpha, 1949 nucleotides. RefSeq lists it as uncharacterized. The transcript is spliced from 3 exons. The record is from RefSeq and is a predicted model, not a curated record. Lineage: Eukaryota; Metazoa; Mollusca; Bivalvia; Myida; Dreissenidae.
GUGAUCGUCUGCUUUUGAUGAACGACCUUAGGUUUAAGUCAUUGUUGGAGAUAUUAGAUAAAAAAUCAACGAUGUCAAAGGUGCGGGUUUAGAAUUUCAAAAAGUAAUACAUGCCUGAUACGCUGCCAAUCACUUGAAGAUGGCCAAGAUCAUGUAAAGUUACGCCAGAAAGAGAGUGAUAGCAUAAAUGCUGCCAGCAAAGUUCGCAUGGACAAUAUUACUUCCCUUCCCGGACAGACAGUUCAUAUACAUUGUCGAUAAACAUUAUGGUAACUCAAUUCGAAUCAAGCUAUCCUUAAAUAAAAAGCCAACAGAGACUGUGUCAUCUCCAUCAUUAUGAUCUAACACUGAACAAUUUAACUUCAGUACAUAUUGUCUAUUUGUGCUCAACGUGCCAAAUGUAUUGGAAGAAAACGAGGCUAUAAUAUAUACCCUGUUAGAACAGUUAAAUUUAAAAAUUACAUAGAACAAAUAUUUAUUGAUAGGGAUGACAAAUGGGGUUCAGAUGUUAAAAACAGAUUGGAAACUAUACAUGACUUACCGGCUGCUGAUGCUAUAUACCCUCAGUCAUGCAGCGCAAAUUUUAGCACAGGUAAAAAUAUACCAAAGGCAGGCAAUGAAAAAGGAAAGAAGUUUGGAAAACCAGUGAACAUGGCACAGGAAUUUGCUUUCCAGGAAAUAGCAUAGUUCCUGAUUGAAAAUGAUGACGAACAAAUAACACCAAAAGACCUUGUUGACAAAAUGGCAGAACUAUGUGGAGAACUCUCCUAUACAUCAACUUAUAUGAAGAAGAGAUAACUAGAUCAUGUUGGGCCCUCUAUUGUCAUCACAGAAUUAAAUGGAAAGCAAAACGUAAUCACAUUUAGAAACACUGCAUCAUCAAUUCUUUAUUCAUUUUAAAAAAGUCUGGUAGCAAUUCCGAUGCUAAUAAAAUUGAAAUAGUAACAAGAGCAGCAAAACUAUUGCUUACUAAUAUAAAGGAUGUUAAAGCAACAAAAUUGUCUCACCCUGACUCUGCUGAUGUCUACACAGGAAAAUAUUGACUGCAUUCCGGAUAGGCUAAAAACAUUUCUUAGAGAAAUUUUCAGCGAGAAAAAAAAAUGCACAUGUGAAGAUUGCCUCUAUUGGAGAGGCCAUUAUCAAAGCAGCGAGACUAAAGGUGUUGAUUCCUCCUUUACAGAUUGGCUAAGAAGUACAAAUGCAUCAUCACUUUGCAUCAAAGUCUUUAAUUGAUAUGUUGAAUAAGCUAGGAUUUUGUAGUUCAUAUUCAGAUGUUUAACGGUUUUAGACAAGUGCAACAGUUUCACAAGGCAUUUAUUUGCCUUUUCUAAAAGAUGGCCAAUUUUGUCAGUUCGUAGCGGACAACGUGAAUCAUAAUAUACAAACACUAGAUGGCCACAAUACUUUUCACGGCAUGGGUAUAAUUGCUUGUUACACGCCCGAAACAAAAGUGUGUGGUGAAUGUCGGGAAAUAAGCUGUACCAAUGCACAAACUGUGGAAGAACAAGACUUAAUGGAAGACAGUUUAUAAGUUUGCUAAGGACAUGUUCACACCCAAGUUAACUUACAAUUGAAUUUAUUAUGAGAACAUAUAUUCAUCACAAUUAUUGAUGUUUUUCCCCAAAAUGCUUCAUUUAGCAUUACAUUGUUUUAUGGUGUAACCGUGACAUGCGUCAUUUGAUGUUACACCUAUAAUGCUGAAAGAAGAGGUUAAGCUCAAAUUAUAGAUAUGAUAUGAGCUCCACCUCGAGAAAAAAAAUAAUUAUAUGUGCAUGCAGUUUUGAGACGUACAGAUUAUCUUUGUAUUAUACUAGUAUGUAAAAUAUGGUAUAAUAGAAGUUUUUUUAUGUUAAGUGUUAACAUUAUAAUACUUAAGCAUUAUAAUACUUAAGUUACGCGUUAAUUUAAGCUAAUGACAAUGCAACCUUCUUAGUUUAAUUAUAUUUGAA